Molecule: unclassified non-coding RNA, 212 nt
Filed under: plant metagenome
Description: partial contains small subunit ribosomal RNA, internal transcribed spacer 1, and 5.8S ribosomal RNA
Source: RNAcentral
UUUCCGUAGGUGAACCUGCGGAAGGAUCAUUCAUAAUAAGUGUUUUAUGGCACUUUUUUAAAUCCAUAUCCACCUUGUGUGCAAAGUCAGGGUUGAUUUUCUCUCGAGAGGAUCAGCCCCAAACAUCAACUAUAUCUCAACUCUUUGUCUGAAAAAUAUUAUGAAUAAAACAAUUCAAAAUACAACUUUCAACAACGGAUCUCUUGGCUUUC